RNAcentral lists this ribosomal RNA (254 nucleotides) under uncultured bacterium. RNAcentral describes it as "partial 16S ribosomal RNA". It matches the Rfam family "Bacterial small subunit ribosomal RNA", at positions 524 to 776 of the family's 1533-position model. The record is from RNAcentral.
UACGAAGGGGGCUAGCGUUGUUCGGAAUUACUGGGCGUAAAGCGUGCGCAGGCGGCUUUUCAAGUCAGGGGUGAAAGCCCAGAGCUCAACUCUGGAAUUGCCUUUUGAGACUGAGUGGCUUGAGUACGAGAGAGGUGAGUGGAAUUCCCAGUGUAGAGGUGAAAUUCGUAGAUAUUGGGAAGAACACCGGUGGCGAAGGCGGCUCACUGGCUCGUAACUGACGCUCAUGCACGCAGCUGGGGGAUCAAAACAGG